Molecule: ribosomal RNA, 2937 nt
Filed under: Triticum aestivum (bread wheat)
Lineage: Eukaryota; Viridiplantae; Streptophyta; Magnoliopsida; Poales; Poaceae
Description: partial small subunit ribosomal RNA
Source: RNAcentral
CCCCUCCGCCGCCGCUCCCACCAUCCUCCCCAUCCGUCGCUGCUGCCCCCAUCCCCCCCGUCCGCCGCCGCCGCUCCCAUCCUCCCCGUCCGCCGUCGCGCCGUCGCGGGUCUCCUCGCGCAAGCGCACGACCUCCACCAAGGCCGUGCCCGCGGCCGACCGCGGGGCUCCUCGGCCAAGCGCGUGUCUUCCGCCAAGGCCGCGCCCGAUGCUGACCAGAAGGCCACGGUCGCCAAGCGCCCGCACAAGGGAACCACGUCGGGGAGGAAGAAGUCGGCGCCCAAGUCCGUUGCUGCGGCACACCCUCUCUAGCCGCCUCUCAUCGUCCUCGCGCUCGGCAGAAGGAGGACGAGGACGUUGAGCGGACAUGGGCUAUCACUCUCUCCGCGGGCAAGCUCGAGCGCUACGGCAUUAGCGAGGACCUCCGCGAGUUCGUCAAUGGCAUGACCAUGAGUUGGAGCUGUCGGAUGUGUCCACGUUGUUGAAUAUGCCUCAGCAUCUGAACGAAUAGCAGGCUAGGCAUACCACUCACGUCCUCUCAGCCGUCAGGAUUUUGUUUCCAUUAACCAUUUCAGUCAUGGGAGAUUUGGUUUAUGUGGCUCUCCAUCGAUGGAAUGCCAAUGAAUGCACAUAUGAACAUACAUACAUAGUUCUAUUUUGCUUUAGAAUUCAGUGUCAGGUACCAUCCCUCCAUGAGGUUUUAUCCAGUGUCUUUCUCUUUCCUUAAUAAUUGUUGCACUUUUGAUUGAAGAAAACUUCAUGGAGGUUGCUGAUUUGGAGCUCAGCUAGGGAUGCUCUGAAUUUCAUGGUUGUUGCUUGAUGUGGAAUGUAUAGUCUUCACUGCACAUCAUGUGGUUGAUGCUUAGUUCUUGUUUUUUUUCAAAUGCAACUGGAACCGGCGACCAGCCCUUCCUCGCCCUUAGCCUCGACACCACCACUGACGCCUCCAGGAGCAGUGGGGCAUCGCCGGUGGUGCCGGCAAGGCAAUGGUUGUGGUUAGGCUUUAGUGCUAGGUUCCUCACAGUUGUAGCUGUUGGGGAACACUGCUAUGCUCGAUGUCCGGUGGUGGGGUUUGGGCACGCCACUGGUGCUCCUUCAGAUUGGCAUGGAUGCCUCCGCGCUCGGAGUCUGCUGUAUCUACGGGUUCCUAGGUGCUGUCAUAUGCUCCAGAUUUUAUAUGGCCCAUUGUAUAGGAUGCAGUUUGGAUUAUUAAUCUGGAACAGCUAUACCAUGGAGGUGUUGUUUAAGGUCCCUUGCUAAUUUUAUCUUAAGCUGCAGUACUGCAUCUUUGGUUCAGUGCUGCGUUGCUCGGUUCGUUUGCUUGGUUCCUUUGCUCGGCUCAGGAGGUUAGGAGACCAUCAACCAUAAGGAGGAGGAAUAACAAAGAAGUUCAGAAGCCAAGGACCAUCUUCAACCUGAUUUUAGGCAUCCUCAAGUAAAGGUUGAUUCAAUAAUUGAAUGCAUAGGCUUAAACCAGAGGAUAUAGCAGUGGAAGAACAAGUUUUAUGUCUGUCGAGGUGCUUUCUUAUUUAUUUGACAUGAUAAAGCAUGGACCUUCUUGCUCGUUCGUCGCUACGCAUCUCAGCUCCAGUAACCAGGUUGCGAUGGCUGACGAUGAGCUCCAGGUUCAUGGCUCGCCAGGCUCCUCUUCGGUCGUCGCUACGCAUCUCAGCUCCAGUAAACAGGUCGCGAUGGCUGACGAUGAGCUCCAGGUUCAUGGCUCACCAGGCUCCGCUGGCUCCACCAACAGUUGUCUACGAACACUUGCACAGAUUAUACUAUCGUAUCAGUCUUCACUUCUGAGCUACUCUUGCUAUGAUUCACGCAUACUUGAUGGAAACCCAGUGAGUGUUCAGGAUCCCACACAGAACAGUUCUUGACAGCCUCCUAGCGCAUCUUGAGUUAUCUCCAGAUGAGUACGAGCGUGUUGUUCAUGAGGAUGGCAAGAUCCAUGUAACCGUCUCUUUCAACACCUCCACAAUUAACCUUGGGGGACCAAUCAGCGACAUUUCUGUGCCAGGGCUUUAUUGCACCGACGAUGAGGCUGCCGAGGAUACCGCUAUGAUAAAGCCUAUCAUAUACAUAGAGGACAUGACAAACACGGUUGUUAGAGACUUGAACCUUGCUUCGUCCAAACGACAUCAGCGCCAUGCCGAGCACUUCCUGCAGCAGUUAGAGGAGUCAAGGACCAAUAAAAGGAUGCUUGCUAGAGGUUGGCUUCUUGCCGUCAGAUACAUGCAUUACUUUUCUGUGCACAUUAGAAAUGUGGUUGCCAUGGACUACUCUGUUGGAGAUCUUCCUGACACAAUGGAAGACACAAGCAACCGCUUGGAAGGACAUUUGGAAAAAAGGUCGCUCUAUUAGAUGGCGCCUCUCCUAAUUCACAGCUGCUCCAAUGCGUAUCAAGGUUCCAUGUGAGGCGGUCUUUGUGAAGUACAUCGACAAGGCAGAUGAAUUACGCCACUUGUUAGUAUGCUUAGUGAUUAUGGCUUCGUAGUUGGCUCUCCUUAUGUAUUCUCGCUUUUGGUAUCGAACUUCGUGUUGAAUGGCCGUCUUUUGUGGUCGGAUGAACGCACCUGAUGUUGAUCUUGAGAUCCAUUGUGUUUUAUUUCUAUCGCAAUUCAAUGUUUCUUACCUCAUUAUCAUCCUGUAUAAGUACAAAUGCUUUACUUGGGUUCCUACUGGCAUGUUGUUACAUGCUUUGGCAAAAUAUUGAGACCGGCACCCUUGCGCCAAGGCAUGAUUCUGACCUAGUUAUAUGCAGGCCCACUAGCAGCAACAUCUCGAGAUGCGUGUGCGAUCUCCUCAUCUGUGGCUGCACCAACACAUACAACUACCAUCUUCGACAUGCCCAAUAAUCAACAAAUUUCAACAAAAUGUUUCAUCGCGUUCCUCUCUGCGUCCUCACGACACUUCCUCGCAACCUCGAAAUGCUUC